RNAcentral lists this transfer RNA (72 nucleotides) under Camelus bactrianus (Bactrian camel). It matches the Rfam family "tRNA". From Rfam's summary of the family: Transfer RNA (tRNA) molecules are approximately 80 nucleotides in length. Their secondary structure includes four short double-helical elements and three loops (D, anti-codon, and T loops). RNAcentral also lists the same sequence under 2 other names. The record is from Rfam by way of RNAcentral. Lineage: Eukaryota; Metazoa; Chordata; Mammalia; Artiodactyla; Camelidae.
GAGGGUACAGCUCAGUCAUAAAGUGUGUGCUUGGCAUGUGCAAGGUCCUGGGUUCAAUCUCCUGUACCCUCA